RNAcentral lists this ribosomal RNA (1346 nucleotides) under uncultured bacterium. RNAcentral's name for it is "partial 16S ribosomal RNA". It matches the Rfam family "Bacterial small subunit ribosomal RNA", at positions 28 to 1381 of the family's 1533-position model. The record is from RNAcentral.
GACGAACGCUGGCGGCGUGCUUAACACAUGCAAGUCGAACGGAAAGGCCCUGCUUUUGUGGGGUGCUCGAGUGGCGAACGGGUGAGUAACACGUGAGUAACCUGCCCUUGACUUUGGGAUAACUUCAGGAAACUGGGGCUAAUACCGGAUAGGAGCUCCUGCUGCAUGGUGGGGGUUGGAAAGUUUCGGCGGUUGGGGAUGGACUCGCGGCUUAUCAGCUUGUUGGUGGGGUAGUGGCUUACCAAGGCUUUGACGGGUAGCCGGCCUGAGAGGGUGACCGGCCACAUUGGGACUGAGAUACGGCCCAGACUCCUACGGGAGGCAGCAGUGGGGAAUAUUGCACAAUGGGCGGAAGCCUGAUGCAGCAACGCCGCGUGCGGGAUGACGGCCUUCGGGUUGUAAACCGCUUUCGCCUGUGACGAAGCGUGAGUGACGGUAAUGGGUAAAGAAGCACCGGCUAACUACGUGCCAGCAGCCGCGGUGAUACGUAGGGUGCGAGCGUUGUCCGGAUUUAUUGGGCGUAAAGGGCUCGUAGGUGGUUGAUCGCGUCGGAAGUGUAAUCUUGGGGCUUAACCCUAAGCGUGCUUUCGAUACGGGUUGACUUGAGGAAGGUAGGGGAGAUUGGAAUUCCUGGUGGAGCGGUGGAAUGCGUAGAUAUCAGGAGGAACACCAGUGGCGAAGGCGGUUCUCUGGGCCUUUCCUGACGCUGAGGAGCGAAAGCGUGGGGAGCGAACAGGCUUAGAUACCCUGGUAGUCCACGCUGUAAACGGUGGGUACUAGGUGUGGGGUCCAUUCCACGGGUUCCGUGCCGUAGCUAACGCUUUAAGUACCCCGCCUGGGGAGUACGGCCGCAAGGCUAAAACUCAAAGGAAUUGACGGGGCCCCGCACAAGCGGCGGAGCAUGCGGAUUAAUUCGAUGCAACGCGUAGAACCUUACCUGGGUUUGACAUGGAUCGGGAGUGCUCAGAGAUGGGUGUGCCUCUUUUGGGGUCGGUUCACAGGUGGUGCAUGGCUGUCGUCAGCUCGUGUCGUGAGAUGUUGGGUUAAGUCCCGCAACGAGCGCAACCCUUGUUCACUGUUGCCAGCACGUUAUGGUGGGGACUCAGUGGAGACCGCCGGGGUCAACUCGGAGGAAGGUGGGGAUGACGUCAAGUCAUCAUGCCCCUUAUGUCCAGGGCUUCACGCAUGCUACAAUGGCUGGUACAGAGAGUGGCGAGCCUGUGAGGGUGAGCGAAUCUCGGAAAGCCGGUCUCAGUUCGGAUUGGGGUCUGCAACUCGACCUCAUGAAGUCGGAGUCGCUAGUAAUCGCAGAUCAGCAACGCUGCGGUGAAUACGUUCCCGGGGCU